UACGUAGGGACCAAGCGUUGUCCGGAAUCAUUGGGCGUAAAGCGCGCGUAGGCGGCCCGGUAAGUCCGUUGUAAAAGUCGAAGGCUCAACCUUCGAAAGCCGAUGGAUACUGCCGGGCUAGAGUACGGAAGAGGCGAGUAGAAUUCCUGGUGUAGCGGUGGAAUGCGCAGAUAUCAGGAGGAAUACCCAUAGCGAAGGCAGCUCGCUGGGACGUUACUGACGCUGAGGCGCGAAAGCGUGGGGAGCAAACAGG
RNAcentral lists this ribosomal RNA (253 nucleotides) under uncultured bacterium. Its description in RNAcentral is "partial 16S ribosomal RNA". It matches the Rfam family "Bacterial small subunit ribosomal RNA", at positions 524 to 776 of the family's 1533-position model. The record is from RNAcentral.